RNAcentral lists this ribosomal RNA (594 nucleotides) under uncultured bacterium. RNAcentral's name for it is "bacterial SSU rRNA". It matches the Rfam family "Bacterial small subunit ribosomal RNA", at positions 112 to 704 of the family's 1533-position model. The record is from RNAcentral.
AACACGUACACAACCUUCCUAUAAGUGGGGAAUAGCCCAGAGAAAUUUGGAUUAAUACCCCGUAACAUAACGAUGUGGCAUCAUAUUGUUAUUAUAGCUUCGGCGCUUAUUGAUGGGUGUGCGGCUGAUUAGAUAGUUGGCGGGGUAACGGCCCACCAAGUCUACGAUCAGUAGCUGAUGUGAGAGCAUGAUCAGCCACACGGGCACUGAGACACGGGCCCGACUCCUACGGGAGGCAGCAGUAAGGAAUAUUGGUCAAUGGACGCAAGUCUGAACCAGCCAUGCCGCGUGAAGGAUUAAGGUCCUCUGGAUUGUAAACUUCUUUUAUCUGGGACGAAAAAAGGCUUUUCUAAGUCACUUGACGGUACCAGAUGAAUAAGCACCGGCUAACUCCGUGCCAGCAGCCGCGGUAAUACGGAGGGUGCAAGCGUUAUCCGGAUUCACUGGGUUUAAAGGGUGCGUAGGCGGGCAGGUAAGUCAGUGGUGAAAUCCUGGAGCUUAACUCCAGAACUGCCAUUGAUACUAUCUGUCUUGAAUAUUGUGGAGGUAAGCGGAAUAUGUCAUGUAGCGGUGAAAUGCUUAGAUAUGACAUAG